AAAACUCUGGGAGCUAAACAAGCAAAUAUAGCUUGGGAAUGACGUCAAUGGAACUUUCCCUAUAGGGCCCAAAAAGUUAUUUUGCCUCUCCUUUUUUGUCCCUUCAAAGCUAUUUGGGUUUUUCCGAUUUGCAACCCAUUUUAGGCGUUUUUUUUUUUGACCCUUCUCUCUUUUCACAGACACAUUGCAUUUAUAUAUUUUCUUCAUUUCUAAAACCCCUUUUUACCCUUUUUUAUUUUAUUCCCUUUUUCGGUUGAAAAAAUAAAAAGAUAUAGGUAGAAAAUCUGAUAACCCUUUUUUGGGUUUAAUCUGUUGGCAAAAGAAAAGAAAAAACUCUUGUUUACACAUGGCUGUUAUGGAUGAACUUGGAAUUGAUAUCAGGUUAGAAAGUUGAAAUUUUCUAGCCCCAAAGAAAACUUUUAUUUUUGUGUUUGGUUUUUUAUGUUUUCUUUUCUGGUUGAAUUUUGAGUAAAUUAAUGUAAUAUCUUGAUAGAUGGGAGGAAAUCUGCCAUCACUUGACAAAAAAAUAAUAAUUGUAGCGUUGAUGAUUUUUUGGUUUGUAUUCCUUUAGGUUUUAUGUUUUUUUUGAGAUGUUGGGUGUGUGAAUUUACAGUCUUUUUUGGUUGAAUUACAUGAAUUAAUGGAAUUUCUGAUGUGGGUCCUGCUUGAAAAUUCAAGAAACGAUGUUGGAUAUUGAGAAAUGAGUAUUUGGUAUUGUUGGACUUGUGUUAAAUCUUGAAUUUUGUGACACUUCGAGGAUUAUUGUAUCUUUAUUAGGUGUGUAGUUUUUUUUUUUCCUUCUUUUUUUUAGUUUCAUUUGGUUUGAAUGGAGUACUGUAUGAUUGAUGUUGAUGGAUUGGGCAACAGCUCGGAUAUUGAAGUCGAUGACAUAAGGUGUGACAAUAUAGCGGAAAAGGAUGUGAGUGAUGAAGAGAUUGAUCCUGAGGAAUUGGAGAGGCGAAUGUGGAAAGACCGUGUAAAGCUCAAGAGGCUUAAGGAAAGGCAGAAACUUGCAGCACAACAAGCUGCAGAGAAGCUGCAGAAGAACAAGCAAACGACUGAUCAAGCUCGGCGGAAAAAGAUGUCCAGAGCUCAAGAUGGGAUAUUGAAGUACAUGUUGAAACUUAUGGAGGUGUGCAAGGCUCGAGGAUUUGUUUAUGGGAUUAUACCUGAGAAGGGUAAACCGGUUAGCGGUGCAUCGGAUAAUAUUAGAGCUUGGUGGAAGGAAAAGGUGAAGUUUGAUAAGAAUGGUCCUGCUGCAAUAGCAAAGUAUGAAGCGGAAUGCCGUGCAAAAGGAGAGGGAAUUGGAAAACAAAACGGGAACCCACAAAGUGUUUUGCAGGAUUUGCAGGAUGCUACCUUGGGGUCCCUUUUGUCUUCUUUAAUGCAACAUUGUGAUCCACCUCAGCGGAAGUUCCCGUUGGAGAAAGGUGUCUCACCACCCUGGUGGCCAUCAGGGAACGAGGAAUGGUGGGUGAAAAUGGGGCUGCCUAAGGGACAGAAAACACCAUACAAGAAGCCGCAUGAUUUAAAGAAAAUGUUUAAAGUUGGUGUUCUAACUGCUGUUAUAAAGCAUAUGUCACCUGAUAUUGCAAAGAUCAGGAGAUUAGUGCGGCAGUCAAAGUGUUUACAGGAUAAGAUGACUGCAAAGGAGAGCUCAAUAUGGUUAUCUGUUUUAAGCAGAGAGGAAUCUACUAUCCAGCAACCAACCAGUGACAACGGAUCAUCUAGCAUAAGCGAGGCACCUAAUAGAGGUCACGGUCAAAAGAAGAAACCUUCUGUUGAUAGUGACAGUGAUUAUGAUGUUGAUGAUGUUAAUGUCUCUGCUUCAUCUAGAGAUGAGACGAGAAAUGAACCAUUGGAUGCUCCUCCUCUGAGUGCUGUUCCUCAAUCUCACCAAGGUAAAGAUGGACAACGUCGAAGAAGAAAACGUGCUAGGUUGAACUUUCAACAGACUGAACCUGAUGACGAGGCUAGAAACACCUUACCUGAUAUAAACAAUUCCAAUGUGCAGCUUUCAGGGUACAAUACAAAUGAAAGCCAACCGGAGAACAAUAUUGUGGGAGCAAAGAAGCCUGUGGAGAAAAACUCUGCUGAAUUACCAUUAAGAGACUCCAACCUUUCCUUGGUUCCAUCAGCUGAUGCAGUCUCUACAGAGGAUGCAUUCGUUGGCAAUGGGCCAUCAAUUUAUCCAAUGUUGGAAAACUCUGUUAUCCCGUAUGAAUCAAGGUUUCAUCUUGGAACUCAAGAUUCUGUUGCGCAGCGCCAGCUUCAUGAUACUCAGUUGCAGAGCAGAACUCAGUUCUCUGGGAUGAAUAAUGAACCUCGAAGUUCGAUAUUUCAUUAUGGACCUCCAAACAAUGGGUUGCAUAACGGACCUCAAAGUUCUGUCCUACAUCAUGAGCUACAGGAUCCGAGUUUCACUCAUGGAUCUCAAUAUUCAAACUUGCAUCAAUCCCCUGUAUAUCAAUAUUAUACACCAUCGGCUGAAUUUGGGUCAGCUCAUGAAGAGCAGCAGUCUCACCUGGCAUUCGGUCAACCUCAGAUUAAGCCACGGGAUUCUGGAGUUAGAAAUGAUAUUUCUAGAGAGGACCAUCGAUAUGGAAAAGACACAUUUCAGAAUGAUCAUGAUAGACCUGUUGAGAUGCAUUUUGCAUCUCCAAUCACUAGUGGCUCACCCGAUUAUGCUAGACUCAGCAGUCCAUUUAACUUUGAGCUUGAUGUCCCAAGUGCGUUAGAUGCUGGUGAUUUGGAACUAUUCCUUGAUGAAGACGUUAUGACAUUCUUUGCUUCGUAGGCAGUUAUGUGGAAAAUACAACAUUUAGAAUGAACCACCUGAAGGCUGCGCCAACAUAUUGUGAACUGGAGUGAGUCCUCUCUCAUAAAAUGAGAUCCUGGACUCACAAAUGAUAUUUUCCUUGUGGAGGUAAACAGAGAACAAACAAUACCCAACACGCAGUUUCGGAUAUUUUAAUUAAUUUGCUUUUCCUGCCAUCCUUUGGAAAGGGAAAAUUUCACUGUUUUUUGUGAUAGAUUACAAGUGGAAUGCAUGUUUUAAUUGUUCCAUCCUGGUGAACAUAUCGUGGAUCGUCUUUGAUGGAACAAAUAUAUAAAGGAUUCAAGUAAUUUGCAUG
RNA transcript from Lycium ferocissimum, 3134 nucleotides. It is a transcript of the gene named ETHYLENE INSENSITIVE 3-like 3 protein, with no coding region annotated. Lineage: Eukaryota; Viridiplantae; Streptophyta; Magnoliopsida; Solanales; Solanaceae. The transcript has 3 exons. The record is from RefSeq and is a predicted model, not a curated record.